This 840-nucleotide ribosomal RNA is filed under the name Triticum aestivum (bread wheat). RNAcentral's name for it is "partial small subunit ribosomal RNA". Lineage: Eukaryota; Viridiplantae; Streptophyta; Magnoliopsida; Poales; Poaceae. The record is from RNAcentral.
AUGAUUCCCAACCUCUCCGCCCUCCAGAACCACUUCGGCGCCGCCGCCGCCGGCAGCGACGACCUCGGCGCCCUCUUCUCCGCCGACGCCGCCGACCAGCUUGCCCUCGAGUUCCCCACCUGCAACGACUUCGAUGGGUUCCAGAAGGCGACCAAGGAGAUGGUGAACAACAAGAAGGGAACCACCACGCUCUCCUUCAUCUUCGACAAGGGCGUCAUCGUCGCCGCCGACUCCCGGGCCAGCAUGGGCGGCUACAUAUCUUCGCAAACUGUGAGGAAAAUCAUCGAGAUUAAUCCCUACAUGCUGGGAACCAUGGCUGGAGGUGCUGCUGAUUGCCAGUUUUGGCAUAGAAACUUGGGGGUAAAGUGCCGGCUCCAUGAGCUUGCCAACAAGCGAAGGAUCUCUAUUGCUGGUUCUUCAAAGACGUUAGCUAAUAUCCUUUACUCGUACCGCGGGAUGGGACUUUCAAUCGGUACAAUGAUUGCUGGAUUUGAUGAAACUGGUCCGGGAUUGUACUAUGUUGACAGUGAGGGUGCAAGGCUCAAGGGAAGCCGGUUCUCUGUUGGUUCUGGCUCUCUAUAUGCUUAUGGUAUCUUGGAUGAGGGUUACAAAUUCAACAUGUCAGUUGAGGAAGCUGCUGAGUUAGCACGGCGGGCUAUUUAUCAUGCAACAUUCCGUGACGGAGCCAGUGGUGGCUGUGUUAGUGUCUACUACGUUGGCCCUGACGGCUGGAAGAAGCUGUCUGGAGAUGAUGUUGGGGAGCUGCACUACCACUACUACCCAGUCCAGGCGGCUCCCGUCGAGCAAGAGAUGGCCGAGGCCCCUUCUGCGUCAACCUGA